This 500-nucleotide ribosomal RNA is filed under the name uncultured bacterium. RNAcentral's name for it is "bacterial SSU rRNA". It matches the Rfam family "Bacterial small subunit ribosomal RNA", at positions 17 to 507 of the family's 1533-position model. The record is from RNAcentral.
UCCUGGCUCAGGAUGAACGCUAGCGGCAGGCCUAACACAUGCAAGUCGAGGGGCAGCACGAUUGAAGCUUGCUUCAAUUGGUGGCGACCGGCGCACGGGUGCGUAACGCGUAUGUAACCUACCUUAUACAGGGGCAUAACACUGAGAAAUUGGUACUAAUACCCCAUAACACUUUAGGAGGCAUCUCCUUUGGUUGAAAGUUCCGGCGGUUAAAGAUGGACAUGCGUUGUAUUAGCUAGAUGGUGAGGUAACGGCUUACCAUGGCGACGAUACAUAGGGGGACUGAGAGGUUAACCCCCCACACUGGUACUGAGACACGGACCAGACUCCUACGGGAGGCAGCAGUGAGGAAUAUUGGUCAAUGGACGCAAGCCUGAACCAGCCAUGCCGCGUGCAGGAUGACGGCUCUAUGAGUUGUAAACUGCUUUUGUACAAGGGUAAACCUCGGUACGUGUACCGAGCUGAAAGUACUGUACGAAUAAGGAUCGGCUAACUCCGUG